RNAcentral lists this ribosomal RNA (306 nucleotides) under Tetraselmis astigmatica. RNAcentral's name for it is "partial Eukaryotic small subunit ribosomal RNA". It matches the Rfam family "Eukaryotic small subunit ribosomal RNA", at positions 613 to 924 of the family's 1831-position model. Lineage: Eukaryota; Viridiplantae; Chlorophyta; Chlorodendrophyceae; Chlorodendrales; Chlorodendraceae. The record is from RNAcentral.
UUGCAGUUAAAAAGCUCGUAGUUGAACCUUGGGCCUGGCUGGCCGGUCCGCCUCACCGCGUGUACUGGUCCGGCCGGGCCUUUCCUUCUGGGGAGCCGCAUGCCCUUCACUGGGCGUGUCGGGGAACCAGGACUUUUACUUUGAAAAAAUUAGAGUGUUCAAAGCAGGCCUUUGCUCGAAUACAUUAGCAUGGAAUAAUAGAAUAGGACGUGUGGUUCUAUUUUGUUGGUUUCUAGGACCGCCGUAAUGAUUAAUAGGGAUAGUCGGGGGCGUCAGUAUUCAAUUGUCAGAGGUGAAAUUCUUGGA